UACAAUUCUUUGAAAUAAAUUAUAGACUUAGAAGAACUAGGAAGAGAGAGGGAGGCGCUGAAAACCCUUAUGCAAGAAAUUUUGAAGGUAGCUUUUGAGCUUCUUUAGUGAAAUAAUAGUAGCUAAAGACGGUUUGUCUGAAUCGUUAUUUAAAUUAAGAGUCCAUUAAUGCAGUAAUUCUGUAUAUGUGGAAAUAAAGGUGGUACCGCGAGCUUUCGUCCUUUUG
RNAcentral lists this unclassified non-coding RNA (226 nucleotides) under Clostridium beijerinckii. Its description in RNAcentral is "T-box". Lineage: Bacteria; Bacillati; Bacillota; Clostridia; Eubacteriales; Clostridiaceae. The record is from RNAcentral.